Molecule: long non-coding RNA, 696 nt
Organism: Panicum virgatum (switchgrass)
Lineage: Eukaryota; Viridiplantae; Streptophyta; Magnoliopsida; Poales; Poaceae
Exons: 3
Source: RefSeq, a predicted model, not a curated record
GCUACCUCCUUCCCCUAACCGACACUUCUUCCCUUUCUCGUUCCUUUCCUCUCUCUUCUCCUCCCAUGGCAGCCAUGCUCCAAAUUCUCUCCUUGCGGUGCCUAAUCCUUUGGGGGAACUAGCAAAAUGGAGCGAGGAGGAUGAGAGGAGUGCGGAGAGGUGCAUCUUCGUGGUGGAUUUGUCCUUCGCCUUGCUUUCCCAUUGACCUAGGGUUUGGGGAAGAUCAAGGGGACAUUCAGAUCUAGUAGCUCGUCAAAUUUCGUGAUGUUAGCUCAAGGGAUUUGAGAGGGGCAGAUCUAGCGGUGGACCUAGGGGGGCUAAGACCCCACAAACAAUGGAGCCCCCUCUUGAGCCCCCGCCCCCCUAGGAGAAAGGAGGAGGAAGAAGAGGAGGAAGGAGGAGGAAGGAAGAGGAACAAGAAAAUCAGCCCGCCCUUAAUCCAUUCCUAGGUACUGAAUUGGCCGGCCAAAAUAUUUCCUAAUUAGAUGGGAUCAAUAUUAUAUAAGUUAAUAACCUCCCUACAUGGCGGGUCAAUACCUUCCUUAAUCUAGUUGAAUAUAAUUAGCAAGAUUGAUUGGCCAGCCAAUACCUUUUCUAAUCAAGUUGAAUGCAAGGUUGAUCUCUGUCAAUGACUAGCCUAUAUUUCCUUGCAAAAUCGCAACACAUUAUAUAAUUCCUUUUGCAAUUAUCGGCCAA